CCUUCGCCCGCUCGACGCCGCCGCUCAUCGCCGUCGCCGGAGUCGUCGCCGUCCACGCCCGCUCGCUCGCGCGACCGGCCAGCUCACCGUUCCGCCUCCGCCCGAGUCUCCAGCCGCGUCAUCCCUGCUUCUUUGUUCAUUUUGGUCGCUGUUAGGAGCCGUUGGAGCUCCCUCCGACCGCCGUGCACCGCCGCCUCAACCCGCCUGAGCUGCUGCCGCCCAUCCCCGCCGGCUUUGCGCCCGAACCGCCGCCGUGCAGCCCUCUGUCGGCCUCAACCAGCAGCCAAGAAAAGUGGGUAUGGCAGCGGGUAUUUGGCCCGUUUUGGCCGUCUUCCCGAGCCCGGAUGCUCGGCCUGCUUUAAGGAAAGUCGAUCCUUGCGUCGAUCCCGUCGUUUUGGUCCACUCGGUUCGUUAAUCGGGUCCCUAGAUGGCGGUCGUGGAGGACCCGAAGCCCUAAGUCUGGAAAGGUGGAGACUGAAGUAUCGGUGAACGUGUCCUGCUAGUUGGUGUUAGGAUAGUUCCCCUUUUUGUCGAGCCGGUCUACUUUGUAGACAGUCCAGAGUUGUAUUUAAACCUAUGUGUUUGUAAAUGAGUGUUUGGUAUUGUGAUUGAUUGCCUGCUUUUCUAUCCCAA
Eucalyptus grandis is the source of this 633-nucleotide long non-coding RNA. RefSeq lists it as uncharacterized. The record is from RefSeq and is a predicted model, not a curated record. Lineage: Eukaryota; Viridiplantae; Streptophyta; Magnoliopsida; Myrtales; Myrtaceae. The transcript has 2 exons.